CCCGGUUUGGAAAUGUGACAGUAGCCUUACCCGUCUUGCCCGGUACAACUGACGCAAACAGACGGCGGCGCUCCACAAGCCGUGUGCGGCCAGAACGCAGAACGCCCAGUGUGAAACGGUGGCGGCCCAGGGGCGGUCGGGAAACUCGCCGUACCAGGUCAGAAUAUCCCAGAGUAGGAUGGACAACACUGCUGCAGCGAAAACCACACGGGGAUAGUAGCCGUACAGAGACAUCCUGUCGCAGAAGGUGGACGCCAAGGCGAAGUUAUUCAUACCUGUGGACGGAGUCUUCCACCAUUUCCCACCGCUGAGCCAGGCGAACAGGCUGUGGAAACGAACACUGGGACUUCGUCGAUGAACUGCAAUCUGUCGAAUGCCUGAGACCCAAACAUGUAGAGUACGUAGCUGAAGACCAUGCCGGGGGAUUCUCCUAAAAGCUCCCGCAUAUUUUCUCUGACGGCCGGGUCCGGCGAUUCUAGCUGCUCAUGAACCUGAAUCAGUCGGAUUC
This is a long non-coding RNA of Branchiostoma floridae (Florida lancelet), 508 nucleotides long. RefSeq lists it as uncharacterized. The transcript has 3 exons. The record is from RefSeq and is a predicted model, not a curated record. NCBI's taxonomy places the organism in Eukaryota, Metazoa, Chordata, Leptocardii, Amphioxiformes, Branchiostomatidae.